RNA transcript from Drosophila pseudoobscura, 1134 nucleotides. RefSeq lists it as uncharacterized. The transcript is spliced from 4 exons. Lineage: Eukaryota; Metazoa; Arthropoda; Insecta; Diptera; Drosophilidae. The record is from RefSeq and is a predicted model, not a curated record.
AGUUAAGUAGAAAAUUGAUUCAUCAAUGGGCUAAAAUGAUGUGGGCAGAGCUAAGGGCUCUAUUUAGCUAGUAAUAUUCAACGGAAUAUCAAAAUCGAGGAAUAUUUUCCUGUGCAGAGUGGACAAUGCCGAGGGCGCGCAUCCUGGAAGGGGUGGUCAGACGGACAGAGGUCGCCCCUUCCCUCGGACUCCAUACGACGGAUCCGAGCUAUAAUCAUGGCCGGAAGCUCAGAUUCGAUUGGAGACUAGACGACUGGUUGACAGCUAGGACUACGUGUACUGGAGCGACUGGAACACUAGAGGACAUUGAUCAAGACGGGCCAAUCACACAGAUGUCGACAAGGAUAUGCUCUGCAUGCCCCCAGCUACGACAGACUGCCCGAAUGUGCCGCUGCCGGUGUCCGGCAAGACGACAAGACCGGAGUGGAACGGCGUGCAUCCGGCCUGUAGGCUAGAUAAUUGCGCUGUGACGAAAAGACAGCCGGCGUAUCAGUUCAGCGGACAGUCAGGCGAGGGCAGCGACAAGGCUCUGGUCUGCGAUGGUACAACCAACUGUGACAAUGGCCACGAUGAGGUCGACAGCAGACUUUCAGUGUCACAUCAACAAGUUGAGUGGAAAGCCACGAUAUCUGCCCAAAUUCUUAACCAACAAUAUCCUACUCCACCUUCCCACAGCUUUGCAUUGGCCGCCCUGCUCUACGAUGGCUGGGAACUGAACCGAUGGUGCGAAAGAUUCGUUCGAUAUUUUUAUUGCAGGGCGGCGCUUGGCCCUGCCUCGGAUGUUCUCGCGCACCGAGCCAAAGAAUCGAGCUCAGCUUUAAUGGCUCCAUCGAAGAAAAUAAAUAAGUAAGCAGUAAGCAUAGCUAAAAAUGAUUCAAAAUCUCUGCAUACUGAAAUGAGAUGAAACAAGAAACAAGUAUUGAAAGAAAAUAUAUAUUUUCAUAUUUAUUCAUGAAAUAUGGAAAACUCAUUCCACACCACCCAAGAGGUCGAGUUUUUGGGUGGGGCCCAAAGCACCUUGCGAACUUGUGCAGCAACCGUCUCGUAUAAAGGUAUUCGUCAUUUGCAUCGCUGGACCUAGGGCUUCCAGCAAACCUUCUGCAGGGGUCGAUCUGGUGGAACACCAUGGAUGAG